RNAcentral lists this small RNA (28 nucleotides) under Bombyx mori (domestic silkworm). Its description in RNAcentral is "ovarian small RNA-27399". The record is from RNAcentral. Lineage: Eukaryota; Metazoa; Arthropoda; Insecta; Lepidoptera; Bombycidae.
UCCCUCUUCAGUCGCUGGGGUGCAAGGC